This 537-nucleotide long non-coding RNA is filed under the name Mytilus galloprovincialis (Mediterranean mussel). Lineage: Eukaryota; Metazoa; Mollusca; Bivalvia; Mytilida; Mytilidae. The record is from RNAcentral.
AUAAAAUUGAGAAUGGAAAUGGGGAAUGUGUCAAAGAGACAACAACCCGACCAAAUAAAAAACAACAGCAGAGGGUCACCAACAGGUCUUCAAUGUAGCGAGAAAUUCACGCACCCGGAGGCGUCCUUCAGCUGGCCCCUAAACAAAUAUAUACUAGUCCAGUGAUAAUGAACGCCAUACUAAUUUCCAAAUUGUACACAAGAAACUAAAAUUAAAAAAAUACAAGACUAACAAAGGCCAGAGGCUCCUGACUUGGGACAGGCGCAAAAAUACGGCGGGGUUAAACAUGUUUGUGAGAUCUCCACCCUCCCCCUAUACCUCUAACCAAUGUAGAAAAGUACACGCAUAACAAUACGCACAUUAAAAUUCAGUUCAAGAGAAGUCCGAGUCUGAUGUCAGAAGAUGUAACCAAAGAAAAUAAACAAAAUAACAAUACAUAAAUAACAACAGACUACUAGCAGUUAACUGACAUGCCAGCUCCAGACUUCAAUUAAACUGACUGAAAGAUUAUAAUUUCAUCAUAUGAACAUCAGGCAC